Molecule: long non-coding RNA, 368 nt
Organism: Nicotiana tabacum (common tobacco)
Lineage: Eukaryota; Viridiplantae; Streptophyta; Magnoliopsida; Solanales; Solanaceae
Source: RefSeq, a predicted model, not a curated record
GCUUCAAACGGCGGAAAAAAAAAAGGAAAAGAGAGAAGAAGAAACAGAGCAAAAUAAGAACAAAACAUUCAGGACCAUUAACGGCGGCGGGCAAAGUUAUCGGCGUGAGCUUUCACAGAUUUUGGUGCUGGAUCUCGUAAGUAGAACGUGGGUUGCUUGCCUUCAGUCCAUAGGAGACCCGAGGUAGAUUUGUCGGCAUUCGCAAACUCCAGAGUCUCAUUCCUUAUGUUUUAGAUAUACUGUCUCUUUUCAUUUCGAGAACAAUUGUAUUUUCUUUCUAAACUAGUAUUUGUAGAAAUUCGUAGAUGUUCGUGAAUUUGUGACACCAGAUUAUUGGGUAGAUAUGUAUUGGAGUAUUUGAACCGUUA